RNAcentral lists this long non-coding RNA (1017 nucleotides) under Capra hircus (goat). RNAcentral describes it as "lncRNA (ENSCHIG00010029038.1)". Lineage: Eukaryota; Metazoa; Chordata; Mammalia; Artiodactyla; Bovidae. The record is from RNAcentral.
AUGCCAGUACUAAAAGGAGGCAACAGAGCAUGUGCCCUGGAGAACAGCUGCUGCCCCCUGCCUCGACUGGCCUUUCAGAAGGUAUCACAAGAAAGAAUGGUCUUUCUUCUCAGAGACCCCACACACACACACACACACACACUCACACUCACACUCACACUCACACCUUCAAAGCCACAGCGGCUGGGGUACAUAUUUAUAGCCCUGGAUGUUUCUGACUGUUUUGAGUUCAAUAGCUAAACACGUUGAAAUCAUAAGGAAAUGAUCUUCCUAUCAAAUGUGGAUUAGAAACCAAAUUGACUUUCACAAUCUCUUUCCAGUUUUUCCCUCACUGGAUAGGUGAGACUUCUCACUUUACCAGCAUUGAAGUUAUUUCUGAAUUUUCUGAAAUGUUCAGAGUGGAAUUCCCUCCUAGACUUUUAUCUUAAAAAUACAACUGUCAUAAAAGGAAACUAAACCUCAUGCCAUACGUCUGUUGGUGGGCGUGUGUGUGGGUGGGCAUGUGUGUGUGGGGGCACAUGUGUGUGUGUAGACUAUGUGCCACAGGAAAGAGAAAAUUAUAGUUACACACUGAUCUCCCCUCACGAAUUCUCUAAAUCUUUGAUCAAGGUUGCAUAACAAUUUGUGGGUCCACAUGCAUCCUCCUCCGAUAGAAUACUUGUGACUAAACACACACGCACACACCAUUUAGUUCUCAGAACUUUAAAACUAUCCCCUAGGGCUUUAAUUCCACUGAGAACUUUUUAAGAAACUUUGCAUUUAAUGCCAGAGUUUUAAGAUGGCUCAAAGAAUGUAUUUAUUUUCUAUUCACAAGGAGCCAUUGCUUUCCUGUUCUGUUUUUUUGAACCUUUAUGCUCGUCCCAGAAAUCUCAUUUGCAGAGCCCCAAGACAUCUGGGUAAAGCAGCUCUGUAUCAACUGGAGCUCUAACUACUGACCCUCCCUAUCACCUCACCCUAAAGUCCUUGAGGCCGCUCUGAGGUGCCCCCGGCACUCUGUGAAAACUUCCUGGAAACCAU